UAAGCGGCGGCGCUGAGGACCAACCACCGCGAGAAGACGCCCACAUCCAAACACAUUGCCUCAGGAAGGCCACUUUUCAAUUUCUUGUGUCCAAGAUCUUAAUUAGAAAAUGCUUUCUUGCUUGGAUGAGUGGAUAUUUACGAUUUGUUUUUACCGGAUCUGUUACUUUGUUAAUCUUUUCGUCGACAUUUUAGAAAUCGAAGAUUUAUAAAGAUAUGGAGUAGCGAAUUCUGUUUGGUCUCCCGCAUAACCCGAUUAGUUUAUUUUUCCUCUCCUUUUUAAUGAUUUCGAAUUUGAUUGUCGUACUGUGCACUAUUGGCCCCUUGCUGACAGUAGUUGUCUGCAAGGAAAUUGCGAGAAAUUGGUCUUUAGGUGCUAAAUUAAUUAUUUGCCAGAAGAAAAUUAGUUCAUGGGUGGCUUAGAUUCUUCAUUCCCAUGUAUUUUUUUUCUGUCAAGAUUUGGCUCAAAAAAAGUUUAUGAAUUCAACAAAUGUAGAAAAUCAAUGUUUCUGUCAUUGCCAAACAAGAUUGAUGUAAAAAAUUUUAGAUUCGUCUUUAUUCAUGUCAAAUAGUUCCUUCACUAUCUGACAGUUUUAGUUUUAUUAGUCCUGUUACAAAAUGAUGUUCCUCGCCUUUAUUAAUGUCAAAUAUAUGGCCUUUGUACUUCACCUUAAAAUCACACUAUUUUUUAUUAUUUUAGAGACAAAGCAAAAAGAUGAGAGUUGGAGAUCUGAUGCUGAUGUGGAUAAUUCUUUACCAUUGUCUUCAAAGUUCUCUGAUUGCUUUAUCACAACAUAUCACAAAUGCUAAUGUACUUAUUGCUUGAUGAUUUAUUUUGGAUCUGAUGAAGCUGAAGCCCCUGCAAGUUUGUUUUUUCUAGUGGACAAAUUCAGUUCAGUGAAAUGCUUUUCACUAAUAGAAUUGUAUCAGUUUGCUUUCAGAUUGGAAACAUUGUUUACUCUUGUGUUCAUCAUCAUCAAUUGUUUCAACUAUUUAGGUGAUCUCUAUCUAGUGUUGUAUCUUCAUAUUUCAUCAAAUGAUACUCAGAGGCUUACCUACAAGGAUGCUCAAUGUAACUAAAGUUUCCACGAGUUGGUAUGGUAAUUAUAUGAGUGUUUGACCUUUUUCAUAUUUGUGUUAGGGUAAAAUGUUGUGAUU
Molecule: long non-coding RNA, 1157 nt
Organism: Zingiber officinale
Lineage: Eukaryota; Viridiplantae; Streptophyta; Magnoliopsida; Zingiberales; Zingiberaceae
Exons: 2
Source: RefSeq, a predicted model, not a curated record